RNAcentral lists this long non-coding RNA (6028 nucleotides) under Canis lupus familiaris (dog). Its description in RNAcentral is "lncRNA (ENSCAFG00040000064.1)". The record is from RNAcentral. Lineage: Eukaryota; Metazoa; Chordata; Mammalia; Carnivora; Canidae.
CUGCCCUUGCCCUUGCUUUGGGCCCCUGUAAGCAGGUGGUAUUUGAGGGGCUCCUCAUUUGUAAUGCCCAAUAAAGGAUAAAGAGAAUGUGGCUCUGCCUUAGUGCUCACAGGCCCUGCUGGGCAGUGGAGGAGUGGAAUAGCUCCUGGGGCCACCUGAUUUCAUUGUUAGAAGCGAAGUGCCCUGGGAGAGCCAGGUCUGGAGAGUCCCCAUGGCUGGAAGGGGCUAAGGGACCAAAGAGAGGCUGAAAUUUACUGCUACACUGGAGAACAUGGAGAGAAUGAGGGCAGGCAGGACAUGGUUGGAGGGAGAGAGCCAGGAGAAGGCCAGCCUGCACUGGAGUGGUGGUAGCCCUGGCAGGAGGCCUUGUGUAGUGGGUGGCAGAACAGAGCUUUGCCAAAAGUGAAAUUGGGUGUACAUUUGUAUAGCCCAGAAAUGGUAGGACUGCAUUUUUUCUUGUGUAAUAUGAUCAAUGUUUAUUAUUUUUUUUAUUAUUUUUUUUUCUCAUUAAACUUUUGUUUUAAUGGGUCUCAAAAUUCUGUGACAGAUUUUUGGUCAAGUUGUUUCCAUUAAAAAGUACUGAUUUUAAAAACUAAUAACUUAAAACUGCCACACACGCACAAAAAAAAAAAAGCAAAAAAAAAAAACCAAAAAAAAACAAAAGGUCCACAAAACAUUCUCCUUUCCUUCUGAAGGUUUUACGAUGCAUUGUUAUCAUUAACCAGUCUUUUAUUAUUAAACUUAAAUGGCCAAUUGACACAAACAGUUCUGAGACCGUUCUUCCACCACUGAUUAAGACUGGGGUGGCAGGUAUUGGGGAUAAUAUUCAUUUAGCCUUCUGAGCUUUCUGGAGAUACCUGCUUCAAAUUCACCAACACCAGCAGCAACAAUCAGGACAGCACAGUCAGCCUGAGAUGUGCCUGUAAUCAUGUUUUUGAUAAAGUCUCUGUGUCCUGGGGCAUCAAUGAUGGUCACAUAAUACUUGCUGGUCUCGAAUUUCCACAGGGAGAUAUCAAUGGUGAUACCACGUUCACGUUCAGCUUUCAGUUUAUCCAAGACCCAGGCAUACUUGAAGGAGCCUUUUCCCAUCUCAGCAGCCUCCUUCUCAAAUUUUUCGAUAGUUCUUUUGUCGAUCCCACCACAUUUGUAGAUCAGAUGGCCAGUAGUGGUAGACUUGCCCGAAUCUACGUGUCCAAUGACGACGAUGUUGAUGUGAGUCUUCUCCUUUCCCAUUUUGGUUUAGGUUUAGCGGUGGUUUUCACGACACCUGUGUUCUGGCGGCAAACCCGUUGCGAAAAAGAUCAAUGUUUAUUAUUACAAGAACUUUAUCUUCAACAUUAGUAAAAGGAGAACAAACAUUUGAUUGAUAGGAAGCCAGCUCACAUUCUCUCAGUCCAGGUCGCAUUGUUCCAAAGCCUGACCCCAGUGAGCAUGUCAAGGGGGUGUCUGGGUGUCUGGUACCCUAUAGACUCCAUCAACUAUUAUCAUCCCCCCAAAAUCAAUGCAAACUAAUACUAUUGUUGUGUCUGUCAACUUAGAAAUGAAAACAGUAUUACUCAAGGAUAGUGAGAGAUUUUUGUGAAAAUGCAUAUUCAGGGACACUCACUGCAGCAUUAUCUAUAGUAGCAAAAGCUGAAAACAAGCUAGGUAUUCAAACAGGAGAACAGGUCAACAUACAAUCUUAUAGUGAAGUUUUUAGAAAUGUGUUUCAAAGAAUAUUGAAUGACAUGGAAAAUGUUCAAAAUAGAUGGUAAAUCAAAAAACAAUAACAUAAAUCCAUGUGUUCACUGUGUUUCCCAUAAUAUAAAAUGUGUGUGAAUGUUUAUAUAUGUAUAUUUAUGCAUAAAAACUCUUUAGGGAAAUAUAAAAAUACUAGUGAUUAAUGCCAGAGAGUAUGGGGUUAAUGAUGAUUUUCAUUUCUAAUUUUUUACUUGUCUAUAUUCCUAAAUUCUCUACACUGAGAAUAGAAAUAUCAGAGUACAUCACCUAUGAAUGCUGUUUAUUCUGAGACAACUAUAGAUUAACAGGAAAUUGCAAAGAAAUUCACAGGAAGUUCCCAUGCACCUCUCUUUCAGCUUCCUUCAAGGUUAACAUCUUACACAAUUGCAGUACUAUCAAAAUCAGAACAUUGACAUUGGUAUAAUCUAUACAGCUUCCUUGGAUUUCACUUGUUUUGCACACAUUCACUUGUCUGGAUGUGUAUAUAUCUGUGUGAUUCUACUACAUGCGUAGCCUCAUGUAUUCAUCACCACAAUCAAGGUGUGGAACUAUAGCAUCACCAUAAGCUUCUUGUGCUGUCCCCUUCUAGCCACACUCACCUGCAUUACUCUCCAGGUCCUGUCCACCACCAAUCCAUUCUCCACGAAAUCUACUUUUUACUUGUGUAUGUAGGGUUGGACACAUAUUUGUCAGGACAUAAAAUAUGUUUAUGUUGGCUACAGUCAGAAAAAUUGAAAACUUCACUGUAUGCUACAGAAAGAUUAUAGACGGGGGUAGGGGGCAUAGAAUCAUCAUACGUAUUUUAGAGGUCAUCUUGACAAGAUGUGGACGAUGAAUUGAAAAGAAGAGUGAAGUAGGGGUAGGGAGGCCAGCUCUCGGCCCACACCUAUGAUGAGUUACUGAGUAAUAAUAAAGACCAACUUCUCUUCAUUUGCUCAUUCAUUCCUUAUUUCCUUUUUCCCUUCCUUCCUUAGAUCAUUAAAUAUGAUCUAUUAUAAUAUGACAUUUCUGUUAUAUAAUUUAUUACAUAUAAUAUAUGAAAUAUCAAAAUAUUGUUGUAUAAUGACAACUGUAUACCCACUAGUUAAUUAGGAUGGUGAUAUGGUUAAUUAUUUUCUGUAAUAAUUAAUUACUUAUUUUCAAUUACUUAUUUUUCACAAUAAUGAACUGCAUUCAUAUUAGCUAUAAUAAUGUUAUAGUUCUGUUCAUUGUUUUUUUUUUAAAGAUUUUAUUUAUUUAUUCAUGAGAGACACAGAGAGAGAGAGAGAGAGGCAGAGACACAGGCAGAGGGAGAAGCAGACUUCAUGCAGGAAGCCUGACAUAGGACUCAAUCCCGGGUGUCUAGGAUCAGGCGCUGGGCUGAAGGCGGCACUAAACCGCGGAGCCAGCCGGGCUGCCCAGUUCUGUUCAUUGUUACUUGUGUUUUAUUUUCUUUACUAUUAAGUUAUUCUACACUGUGAAUUUUAAAAUUCAAAAUAUUGAGGUUGGUUGAUUUAACUUGCUAUCAGUAAAGCUUGUCAUCAAAAAAGGGCAACAAGCAAUCUAAACAAAAGACAUUGUUAAUGAGAAAAUUAGGAAUGAGCCAUUUCAUAGAAAGCAGUGAAUUUUGGUUCUGGUUUAUUAUAUGUUUACUAUUAGCUCUCUUUGCACUUUUCAUUGGUGGAGGUAAGUGGACAUAUGGAAUGUAUAAAGGGAAUUUCAAAAGUACUUUGUAGGUGAUGAUAUGACUAUAUCAUACUUAUACUCCAGACUGACAUUUUUUGUUUGUUUGUUUAUUUGUGGAGUCCAUGAUGGGUGAAGCCACAUUUGGAGGACAAAGACAAAUAUGAGCCAAAUGGACAGGCCCACUAAUUAGGUGGUAUGCAGAAAUCUAAAAAUAAAAUGCUCAGGACUCAGAUUUAGUGAAUAUACAGAGGUGUUAGUUGAGACACUAAGGAAAAGGAUGUUGGCAAACUUGGGAAACCAAGGUAAUCUUUGCCAGAAAGGCAGGUCGAAAAUAUUCCUCAAGAUUCAGUGGUCAGUGUCAAAAUCAUAGGUCACAUUUUUAUUAUAAGUAUCAAAUCUACUAUAUAAAUACUGGCUUUUGUUACUACCAUCAAAAUGCUGUUGAAUUUAUAAGUACUUCUGCUUCUUUUUUUUUUUAAUUUAAAUGAGCCAAGGCAAAUCAGAGUAGGGUAGGGGGUGAUAGUACUAGAAAGGCAUUUGCUUCCUUUCCUUUUAUCAAAAUGGCUUGUGAACUAUAUUGUGCACUAGCUACAUAGCCACAUUCCAAUUCUGUUUCACGUCCAGCACUAUUUCAACUAAUUCUUAAGCCUCUACCGACUAUUCAUUUGGUAGAUCCCUGCUCUUCAUGGGAACUCUUUGAUGUUUCUAAAGUUUAUUGUCUAUAAAAAUAUAUUUUUCUUUGCCUUCUUGCAUUUUGACUCUGAAUCCAUGGUGAAAUUUUAAGCAUUUAUCUCUUUUCUCAUUAAACAAUGACCUGGUCAGAGUGCCAAGAUUUGUCUUAAUGACGAAACCUUGCUCAGCCCUAAAAUUUUUGGAGACGUGCGACUCUGACUUCCUCACAGUCUGCUGGAUGGUCUCAGGAGCCUAUUCCUCCUUUGGCAGGAAAUGGAAAGAAGGUCAUCCAGGAGAUCUUCCUGCAUUCUGGUCUGGGAUUCUCUUUAAGUGUGGAACUGAAAAAAAAAAUCAGGGUGUCUUGUUUCUAUAUAGACAAUGCCUUGUUUUUACAGACUGAGCAGCAUUAUUCUCCUUUUCUUUCCAAGGUAUUGAGUAAUCAUUUAAACAUAUUAGUUAAUAGAAAAUGAUUGGUCAGGGAGCUGGAUCUUUUUGGCAGUCUCUAUAGCUGUCCUCUCCAAAUUCUGCAGCUAUGAUAAAUUGGAAUUCUUUCAUUUGUCCAGAGGAACUGGAGACUAUGAUUCUGCCAUAGGUGAGUGAUGCCUUAUCAGAGCCCUAACUUCCCAUGUGGUCAGGAAAGGAAGAGAGGCAAACAGAGGGCUGGCAAUUAUCCUGUUUCUGGGAACUGAGUUGCCAGUUUUUUGAAAAUAUUGGAGUAAAAACACUAGUGCAAAACAAUAUAUACAGGAAAACUAAUGGUUUGGAAGAAUUGUCAGUGUAUUUACUUCAGAUGAAGCUUUGACCCUUUCUCUCUUUUUUCAAAAAAUGUUUUCUGGAAGAAAUGUCAAAAAAUCCUAGUAGGGGAGGACUAUGAAGACAGACCCUGGCUAGUAGGUGAAGGAAGUACUUAGGCCUCCUAACCCAUUGUAACUGCCAGCCCAUCAUGGUUGAGGAGACAUUGAUGUUGCUAACAGACAGCAGAGGUGGAAAGUUGCUUAUGACACCUGUUAUUCCUAUGCAUGUAGUGUUCUACUGUUCUUUAUCUUUUUUUUUUUUUUUUUUUUUAAGUAUUUGUCUGUGAUGGCAUGAGAAAGGACUAUGGGAUGUGGGAAGAUGAAAUAGUUACCAGGUUUGAGCAUAAAUGGGAUGACUUCUGUUCUAUUAAACUAAUAAAUGCUGUGUAUGAUGUUCAUGAUUGGGUUAUGUGGCUCACUUUCUAGACAGAUGCAAAUAACCAGAAAUAAGAGCUAAAUGCUGUGCAGAAUUGGGGCACUUCUGGGUAUCCCUGAACUCAGUGCUUAUGGUACUAUCUUAAUGAACUGUGGAAGUCAGAAUAAUCAAAUCUUUAAGCUGUGUCCAAUUUCUCUUAAGAGAGAUAGCCUCAGGCAAAAUGCCUCAGGUUUCAGGAGGUAGCAGCUAAGCAUGUAAGGGAGGAUCAUUAUUAUCAGCGAAAGGAGAGGUGACACUGAGCCUGUCACUUGCCUUCCCAAGCAACCUGGGGCUGUGUCAAUGUGAGGGAGGGGAAAUGAGCUUAUUACCUUUGAGAAGCUAGCCAAAAACUUUCUUUUUUUUUUCUUUUUCUGCCUAACAUAUCCUAAAAUGGAGCCAAUGAUGAACUGAGGAAAAAAGCAGAAUUUGGGAAGAAAAGCUCAUAUUAACUGGAUAAUUGAAUUAAUUUUUCCUUUGGGACUUGAGUGUGUGUUUAUGUGCAUGCAUGCAUGCGUAUGUAAUGUUUGGUCAAAAAUAUGUGCCCCAAACCAUAAAACAGACUCUUAACUAUAGAGAACAAACUGAAAGUUGCUGGAAGGGAGGCAGUGCUGGACAUUAAGGAGGGCACUUGUGAUGAGCACUGGGUAUUAUAUGUAAGUGAUGAAUUACUAAUUUCUACUCCAGAAACUAAUAUUACAUUAUAUAUUAACUAAUUUUAAUUUAAAUAAAAACUUGAAAUAAAAAAAAAUGUGCCCAAAACGGU